ACUGUGCCCGCUGUGGAAAGCCCUGCAUUAAUGCAGGGACAGUAAAACAGUGCAGUGGGGCAUGAUAGAAAACCGUGUCUCAAUUUCAGCUGGAUAUAUGAUGAAACACACUGGAGAUCAGCGAGGAAGGGAUGUAUGAUUUAAGAAAGGGUUCUAGGAAAAUUGUUCAUAUUGAAGGAAACUAGGACAUAUCCUACUUCACACCACAAGCAAAAUUUAAUUUAAGCAGCCCUUUCCAAGAGCCAUGAAAUUCCAGAGAUGAGAGGUCAUUUAGGUCAAGUGUUCCUCUUACAGCAAAGGAAGCCCACCCUAGAGAUGAUGUGAUCUGGAGGCAAGAGAAGGACAGAGGGCCCUAAAUUCAAAAGAGCAGUGAUUUACUUCCGGCAGUGUCACUUGCUAGAUGCAUGAACUAAGGUGAAAACGACUGAGGGACGCUCUGUGCUUUGUUACCCACAAGACGAGAGAAAAAAAUCAGAUGGAA
This 481-nucleotide long non-coding RNA is filed under the name Equus asinus (donkey). RNAcentral describes it as "lncRNA (ENSEASG00005024072.1)". Lineage: Eukaryota; Metazoa; Chordata; Mammalia; Perissodactyla; Equidae. The record is from RNAcentral.